UUGCGCCGAGGGCCAAGAUUAAUCAGCAGCGGUCCAGGCGGUUCCGGGUUGCGAAGGACGCGGCUGAUGCGGUAACGUUACUGCUUGGGUGUCAUGGCAUUGCCAUUGCAGGCAGCUGUGUUUGUUCUACAGCGCAAUCUUCCAGGGUUUGACCCAAACACACGCCAUGUCUUAUAUGGCCUUGAUGCAGAUUUGAUCAUGCUUGCUCUGGCAACUCAUGAGGUCCACUUCUCGAUUUUAAGAGAGGUGAUCACCAUGCCAGGGCAACAUGAAAAAUGCUUUCUGUGUGGU
Molecule: long non-coding RNA, 291 nt
Organism: Hordeum vulgare subsp. vulgare (domesticated barley)
Lineage: Eukaryota; Viridiplantae; Streptophyta; Magnoliopsida; Poales; Poaceae
Exons: 3
Source: RefSeq, a predicted model, not a curated record